CGACGUAGAGGACUAGGAAUCAGGAGUCGGUGGCCGUAUGCUGGAGGCUGGAGCCGCGGGAGCGCGGCUCGCCUCGCUGCGGUUUUUGGCAGUGAGGGAGAGAGAGCAGCGUGGCUGGAGCGGUUUUGCUCUUCUUGCCCAGCCUGGAGUGAAAUGGCACGAUAUUGGCUCACUGCAACCUCUGCCUCCUGGGUUCAAGCGAUUUUCCUGCCUCAGCCUGCCGAGUAGCUGGGAUUAUAGCUCAUGGUGAACCCUUAACAGGAGCUGCGAAGGAUGAAGAGUUAGACCAGCAUACUAAUUCAUCUUGCUUCUUCCCUAAUGAAAUACAUAAAUGCUAAAAAAGAGAGUAUAAAAGAUGAGAGUUUAAGAAAAGCUUCACUGCCCUUACCUUGCCCUGGAGUACUGCUCUUGCUGAUUCAACAGAACUUCAGUUUUCAAAGACAAACUUUAAAUCUCCAUCAAAUAUUUCAAAGACAGAAAAUAAGACUUAAAAUGUCAUUCUUUUAUAAUGAGUCAUUGGAAUUUUUUGCCUACAGCAGAAUAUGAACUUAGAUAUCAUUGUCGGUGUGAAACUCACUGUUACAAAAAAUAAAUUUAGAAAUGUGAAUUGAACAAGAAAAAUAUGAGUCUCAAUAUUUCUUAAAUUUGAUGUCUAUUAGCAGAUGCAUAAUUGUUCACUUGAUGUCAAUUUUCUCUUACUUUUUCCUUUCUUAUGUGGUAGAAUUUAAAAACCUUAUCAAAGUAUUUAUAAAGUGAUCAAUUUUCUUAGUACAGUAGUAAAGCUAUUCCAAGGAAGCAUAAUAAAAAAUCACACAACUUUGAACAUGAUCAGUAUGAAUCUGUGGUUUUACAUAUCGCAAAUUUGGGAACUAUUUACAUCAAGAUGCCGUGUGCUUAUAUAAUCCCUUGAAAAUCUUAUGAAAACAUAAUUGUCUAUGUUUGGUUCAAAUUCAGUGUCAGAACAAUGUGAUAUAUUAUGACACGCAGAGGCUGUGUCUUAACUCUGCGAAACUUAAUUCUGUAUACAGUACUUCUUGAACAUUCCCAAGAGCAAAGUGGUUGUGGCAUCCCUGAAGUAACUGGAGAAGAGCCAUCAAACCUCAAGUAUACAGCUGAAUUCACCACUGAAGUGCUAGAAAACCUAACUGAAGCUUGAUGAAAGGGAUUGUGUCAAGUGUUGAGCUUGCUGAGUGUUUGGAUAUCCAGAGGCCCGACCUUGGUUCUCCAAAGACUGUGAACUCAGCAAUACAGCUACUCGGGCAUUUGUUAUUUUCUGAGAAAAGAAACAGUGUAUUUGAAAACACAUGUGGGUUUCUCUGAUUCCAUAUAUGUGCAGAAUGAACAGAUACGUCAAACAGAGGUGGCUGAUUAUAGCCCUUUUAGAUAUGGGUUACAAAGCUCUAAGUCGAAGGCCUAAAGAGACCAAGGGUCCGCAUGCAAUCAGAUUCGGUGUUAACUAAGAAGCCAGCUUUGUGAUAAGCAGGACUUUUUGAAUUUGAGGUUAUUAAAAACAAUACAAACAAAACAGACAACAUCCAGUGAAAGCCAGGAGAUCUAAAAUUAAUGUGAUUAAACCAUAAGUUUAAAAAUGAUAAAAUUUAAUAAAGUGUUUUGAUAUUAUGGAAAAGAUAUUGUAAGACAAAAUUUGCACAGAUAUGACCGGGCAAAUAAAAGAAAAUAAAUAGGAUAUGCGCAGCAUUUCUUUGAAAAUGACAAGAAAAAUUAUGUGCAGGAUUCUCUAUUUAAUAAAUGUUGCUGGGAAAACUGGCUAGCCAUUUGCAGAAAACAAACUGGACCCUUUCCUUACACCUUGUACAAAAAUUAACUCAAGAUGGAUUAAAGAUUUAACAUAAAAUCUAAAAUCUUGAAAAACCUAGAAGAAAACCUAGGCAAUACCAUUCCGAACAUAGGCAUGGGCAAAGACUUAAUGACUAAAACACCAAAAGCAAUUGCAACAAAAGCCAAAAUUGGCAAAUGGGAUCUAAUUAAACUAAAGAGCUUCUGCACAGCAAAAGAAACUCAUUAGUGUGAACAGGCAACCUACAGAAUGGGAGAAAAUUUUUGCAAUCUAUCCAUCUGACAAAGGGCCAAUAUCCAGAAUCUACAAGGAACUUAAACAAAUUUACAAGAAAAACAACACAACCCCAUCGAAAAGUGGACAAAGGAUAUGAACUUCUCAAAAUAAGACAUUUAUACGGGCAACACAUAUGAAAAAAAGCUCAUCAUCACUAGUCAUUAGAGAAAUGCAAAUCAAAAUCACAAUGAGAUACCAUCUCAUGCCAAUUAGAAUGGUGGUCAUUAAAAAGUCAGGAAACAACAGAUGGUGGAGUGGAUGUGGAGAAAUAGGAAUGCUUUUACACUGUUGGUGGGAGUGUAGAUUAGUUCAACCACUGUGGAAGACAGUAUGGUGAUUCCUCAAGGAUCUAGAACCAGAAACACCAUUUGACCCAGCAAUCCCAUUACUGGGUAUGUUCCGAAAGGAUUAUAAAUCAUUUUACUAAUAAAGACACAUGCACAUGUAUGUUUAUUGUAGCACUAUUUACAGUAGCUAAGACUUGGAACCAACCCAAAUCCCAUCAAUGGAUAGACUGGAUAAAGAAAAUGUGGCACAUAUACACCAUGGAAUACUAUGCAGCCAUAAAAAAGAAUGAGUUCAUGUCCUUUGUAGCGGCAAGGAUGAAGCUGGAAACCAUCAUCCUCAGCAAACUAACACAGGAAGAGAAACUAACACAGGAAGAGUGCAUGUUCUCACUCAUAACCGGGAGUUGAACAAUGAGAAUACAUGGAAACAGAGAGGAAAACAUGGAAACAUCACACACCGGGGCCUGUUGGGGGGUGGUGGGUAAGGGGAGGGAUAGUAUUAGAACAAAUAUCUAAUGCAUGCAGGGCUUAAAACCUAAAUGACGGGUUGAUAGGUGCAGCAAACCACCAUGGCACAUGUAUACCUAUGUAACAAACCUGCAUGUUGAGCACAUGUAUCCCAGAACUUAAAAUAAAUAUAAAAAAUAAACUUUUAAAAGUACCAUAUUAAAAAAAAUUAUGUGCAAAACCUUGGAGAAUUUUGACUGUCAAGCUUAUUUGGGGCUUUAAUUCUGUUUAAAUAAACCCUAUUUGAAUUCA
Molecule: long non-coding RNA, 3120 nt
Organism: Gorilla gorilla gorilla (western lowland gorilla)
Lineage: Eukaryota; Metazoa; Chordata; Mammalia; Primates; Hominidae
Exons: 4
Source: RefSeq, a predicted model, not a curated record